CCCAGACUCCUACGGGAGGCAGCAGUGGGGGAUAUUGCACAAUGGGGGGAACCCUGAUGCAGCGACGCCGCGUGGGUGAAGGAGCGUUUCGGCGCGUAAAGCCCUAUCGGCAGGGAAGAAGGAGGACGGUACCUGACUAAGAAGCCCCGGCUAACUACGUGCCAGCAGCCGCGGUAAUACGUAGGGGGCAAGCGUUAUCCGGAUUUACUGGGUGUAAAGGGGGCGCAGACGGCAGCGCAAGCCAGGAGUGAAAGCCCGGGGCCCAACCCCGGGACUGCUCUUGGAACUGCGCGGCUGGAGUGCAGGAGGGGCAGGCGGAAUUCCUGGUGUAGUGGUGAAAUGCGUAGAUAUCAGGAGGAACACCGGUGGCGAAGGCGGCCUGCUGGACUGCAACUGACGUUGAGGCCCGAAAGCGUGGGGAGCAAACAGGAUUAGAUACCCCAGUAGU
RNAcentral lists this ribosomal RNA (448 nucleotides) under uncultured bacterium. RNAcentral describes it as "partial 16S ribosomal RNA". It matches the Rfam family "Bacterial small subunit ribosomal RNA", at positions 330 to 794 of the family's 1533-position model. The record is from RNAcentral.